UCUAAGAUACAUGUUUUUAAGCUUAAACAUACAUUUUGUAUUAUAUUAUAUCUAAAUUAUGUUCUUAGAGUUUUUGUAUAUAUUGUAUUGUCUUAAUAUAGAUUUGUUGCAUCUCAACUUAUUUUAUUUUUUUUGUUCUUUACAGUUACGUACUUUAUGUGUAGUUAUAGAUAGAGGACAUUAGGUAGUACAAUGUUCUCAAAACAAAAAAUAUACAUAAUUUGCUAGUUUUUAUCUUUCGACUUCUAUAAUUUGGGUUGGUUAUGUUGUCUAAUGUCCAGUGAUGGAUCAAUAACUGAUUUGUUAUAAUUCUUGGUUGGUCUUUCCUUUUCUUCUUUUUGUUUUUCUGUUUUUCUUUUUUUUAUUUUAUUGAACAUAACUUGUCUUUGCCAUACCUGUUCCCAGUAAUGAUCUGCAGCUACUUAUGUUAUCUGGUUUUAGAGAUUUUAGUUAAGUCUUUACCGAGAAAGGUGUUGUUAUUGUCGCGAAUGUUGCUGGAUCUCAGAAGUGAAUUUGUUAGAAUUUAGAGUUUUAAUUGCAGAACCAUCGUGUCAUUUUAAAAUAGUCUAAUCUAACGUGAUUUCUUUUUCAAGUAAAAUCGAUUGUCAAUUGAUUUAUAUUUUAUUUUGAAUCAUCUUGUUCUCCAUGAGUUAAUUGAUCAUUCAUUGCUUUAUUAUUACCUCUCAGGCUGACAUGCAUAUAUAUAUUCUAGAGCAUCAGCUAAAGGAAAACGUGUUCAGUUAGUGCAAUUUACCAACUCUCCUCUCACCUGUAUUAGCCAAUGUGGCAACAUGUUUAAUGUUAGUAUUAUGGUUAGAACAAUGACUAACCACCUGAAAAUGCCUUCAGUCCAAUAUGGGAGCCAAAAAUCAUGGCGUCGUCAUUCCUGAUGCAAACAUAGAUUUCACGAUAAAUGCUUUAGUGGCGGCUGGUUUUAGUACAACAGGACAAAGAUGCAUGGCGUUGAGCACAGUUUUCUUUGUUAGGAACUCAAAACCUUGGUAACACAUUUCAAAUUUCACAUUAUUACGCCACUUUAUUCAGAUUGUUUAGUUUACUAUUGACAUCUUUGAUGGAUGACGGUAAAUUAAUCUUACAUGGAAGAAAAACUGUUGGAACAUGCAAAAGUCCUGAAGGUCAGCGCUGGAACUGAACCUGAUGCCGAUCUUGGUCCAGUAAUUAGCAAGCAGACCACAGGCUAAAAAAUGAGCAUGUCGAUUGGUUCAACGCGGUGUUGAUAGUGGAGCCAAAUUAUUGCUUGACGAAAGAGCCAAACAUUGAUAUGUAUCCAGUGUUGUUUUAGUUUUAUUGAAAGACAUAUUACAAAAGAUCCUUGUUAUUUCUUCUAGAUACAUAUUUUACUAUCUUGUAUCUAUGGUCAGAUGAGUAUGCAUUUUAAUGUAUCUAAUGUUUUAUUAGUUUUAUUGAACUAAGCAAAUAAAAGAUACAUGUUUU
Long non-coding RNA from Capsicum annuum, 1455 nucleotides. RefSeq lists it as uncharacterized. The record is from RefSeq and is a predicted model, not a curated record. Lineage: Eukaryota; Viridiplantae; Streptophyta; Magnoliopsida; Solanales; Solanaceae. The transcript is spliced from 2 exons.